AUCCGGUGGGAGGGAACAUCUGGAACAUUAGACAGGAUGCUGAUCUUCUGGACAAUCACACUUUUCCUGUUGGGAGCAGCCAAAGGAAAAGAAGUUUGCUAUGAGGACCUUGGGUGCUUUUCUGACACUGAGCCCUGGGGCGGGACAGAAAUCAGGCCCCUGAAAAUUCUCCCCUGGAGCCCUGAGAAGAUUGUCACCCGCUUCCUGCUGUAUACCAAUGAAAACCCAAACAACUUUCAAAUUCUCCUCCUCUCUGAUCCAUGAACAAUUGAGGCAUCAAAUUUUCAAACGGACAGAAAGACCCGGUUCAUCAUCCACGGCUUCAUAGACAAAGGAGAUGAGAGCUGGGUAACAGAUAUGUGCAAGCCUGGGGCAUCACCAAGAGCCUGAAAGGACCCCUCACAGUCAAAUCUGCAAGGUCAUUUAGACACUGGCCACCGGAGAUUGCACCUAAGACUUUUCCUUUUCAAAAUAGGACUCUUUUCAUGAUGCAAUUGUUUUUCCCUUACUAACCAACCUUACUGAAUUUGGUUGAAGGAAACCAGAGAGUGGCCAGCUUCCAAUUAAUCUGCAAGCUGGAGGGGGAAUCAUUUUGCCUUUCUCAUAGCAUUCACCCUGAAGGAUAACUCCUAAUUACCAACAGGAUUCCCUAACAGAGUCUAGUUUAUCUCAUGCCCUAGCUAGGAAAAGAGAGAAGUGGCCAUUUCUGAGCCCUGGUUGGAUAAGGUUUCCCUGCUCCCAUUAUCUCCCCAACCCCGCUAUCUCCCCAACACCAGAACCUGUUCGAGGUGGAGGAGGUGAACUGCAUCUGUGUGGACUGGAAGAAGGGCUCCCAAACCACCUACACACAGGCUGCCAACAACGUGCGAGUGGUGGGCGCCCAGGUGGCCCAGAUGCUCGACAUCCUCUUGGUGAGUCAGCUGGCUGGGCUAUGUGAGGAGGGAAGCAGUACCUGCUGGUCUCUGUUUGGUAGAGAUGCAGCUAAGAGUUAUGGAUUAAAGAAGGAGAAAGAAUUGAUACCCAGACCUUACUUCUAAAACUCUGAAAUUUGCCUUCAUAAUGACACGCCAGUGAAAGCAAAAAUAAGAAUCGCUAACACUUAGUGGUUUUUUUAAAAUCAUCUUCAAUUUACAGAUAAAGAAACUGUUUAACUAGAUAAACUAGUUAAACAGAAAGUUUAACUAGUUUACUCCCAAAGUCAUAAAGCAAAUGAAUAGAAGAGUUGCCUUUUGAUCCAGACCAUCUAGCUUCAGAAUUCACCCACAACACCAGGUGGGCUCUGUUUGGGGUGAAACACAGCAUGGCCAGAGAGAGCCACAGAGAGCCAACGGACAGUACGUGCAAUUGGCAUGUACCAGCUCUACUGGCCUGGUGGUGUGGGUGCUAUUGAUGUUGGGAAAUUCCUUCUGCCACAAUCAUUUCACUUAUUUCUUCCUACACUGUUUCAUUAUAGCUAACUCCUUCAGUCUUUAAUUCUUUAAGUUGCUAAUCCUUUGUGACUAUUUUCUAUACCAGGUAAUGACUACAGCCAUUUCUGUCUUAUAGUUAAAGGGUCUACAAAAGAAUCAACUUCUGCACUCCUGCAGAAAUCAAAACCCAUGGUAUUUGUACAAGAAGUAUGGUACACCGAUAAAUGAAGGGCUUUUGGGUGAAUGUCUCUGAGAUCAACAUGUGCAAAUACCUCAUAGCUCUAUUUGAUUUGCUUGUUCACCAGUUUUUUUGGAGCACAAUGUCAGGAGUAUGUGAGGAAGUAAAGAAGACACAUGAGGUCCCAGAUCAUCAAGGAGCUUGCAGUGAAGACUUGCAAUGCCAGUAGAGUGUGAUCUAUUCGUGGGUUCUGAUGGGGAGAGUAGGAGCUUUACAGGAACACAUAGAAGGCAGCUAAUCCACACUGAUGGGGCGGGGAAAGGGAUUAAGGAGGUCUCCCAAGGAAGAGACGUCUAAAUUGAGAGCUGAAGGCUAGUCUGUUGAUGUUCGCUGGCAAGUGCUUGGGGGACAGACAACAACAGGAAGAGAAGAACAAACCAGGCCCAGAGGUGAGAGGCUAUGAUGUAUUCGAGGGUCUGAAAGUUCAACAAAGGGUUUGGCUGAAGAGUCUAGAAAAAUAGAUGAUGAGUUAGGAAAGCUCUGAGGCCUUCAAAAUGAGUUUGGGCUUGAUCCUGAAGGCAACGAGAGGCAUGGAAGGUUUUCAGCAGAGGAGUAAUAUCAAUUAGGCUGGCAUUUUAGAAAAACCACAGCAAAAAAUAUCCUGAAAAUACAAUCUUCCCUCUCCAGACAGAGUAUAGCUACCCCCCUUCCAAAGUUCACCUCAUUGGCCACAGCCUGGGAGCCCACGUGGCUGGAGAGGCAGGCAGCAAGACUCCAGGCCUGAGCAGGAUUACAGGGUUGGAUCCUGUAGAAGCAAGUUUUGAAGGUACUCCUGAAGAGGUGCGACUAGAUCCCUCUGAUGCUGACUUUGUUGAUGUGAUUCACACGGAUGCAGCUCCCCUGAUCCCAUUCUUGGCAUUUCAGGUUUUGGAACAAACCAACAGAUGGGUCAUCUUGACUUCUUCCCCAAUGGAGGAGAGAGCAUGCCGGGAUGCAAGAAGAAUGCCCUGUCUCAGAUUGUGGAUCUAGAUGGCAUCUGGGCAGGAACCCAGGACUUUGUGGCUUGCAAUCACCUAAGAAGUUACAAGUAUUACUUGGAAAGCAUCCUCGACCCCGAUGGGUUUGCUGCAUACCCCUGCACUUCCUACAAGUCCUUUGAGUCUGUAAGCUAUUGUCCUGCCUCGAGCAACAGGCAUCACCCCUCUGUGGGACUGCUGUCCUGCUGCGUUUGGGAUUUGCAAUGCCUUCUCACUACACAUUUUGCAUUGUCCCUUAGAGUUCAUGGUCCUGUGGAGUGGAAGAGAAAAAAAAGACAAGUGCUUCCCAUGUCCAGAUCAAGGUUGCCCACAGAUGGGUCACUAUGCUGAUAAAUUUGCUGGCAGGACAAGUGAAGAGCAGCAGAAAUUCUUCUUGAACACAGGAGAGGCUAGCAAUUUCGCCCGCUGGAGAUAUGGAGUUUCUAUCACACUGUCUGGAAGAACAGCCACUGGUCAGAUCAAAGUUGCUUUGUUUGGAAAUAAGGGAAACACUCACCAGUACAGUAUCUUCAGGGGGAUUCUCAAACCAGGCUCAACCCAUUCCUAUGAGUUUGAUGCAAAGCUGGAUGUUGGAACAAUUGAGAAAGUCAAGUUUCUUUGGAAUAACAAUGUGAUAAAUCCAACCCUCCCCAAAGUGGGUGCUGCUAAGAUCACUGUGCAAAAGGGAGAAGAGAAGACAGUGUACAACUUCUGUAGCGAAGACACAGUGCGGGAAGACACGCUGCUCACCCUCACGCCCUGCUAAGCUCCCGGGGCGACGUGGCUGCUGCGUUUACACCAAUAAAAUCCACUGGUGCAUCUGUA
RNAcentral lists this small RNA (3428 nucleotides) under Pongo abelii (Sumatran orangutan). Its description in RNAcentral is "retained intron". The record is from RNAcentral. Lineage: Eukaryota; Metazoa; Chordata; Mammalia; Primates; Hominidae.